RNAcentral lists this long non-coding RNA (454 nucleotides) under Brassica napus (rape). Its description in RNAcentral is "long non-coding RNA (BNAP_LNC002774)". Lineage: Eukaryota; Viridiplantae; Streptophyta; Magnoliopsida; Brassicales; Brassicaceae. The record is from RNAcentral.
ACGUUUGUGUCCUGACACUGCGUGCUAGGUUAUCCGCUUUUGUGUUUUGCGUUCUUGGAACAUGAAUUAUCUCUGAUCUUGUGAAACUCUCUUUCAGACUCUUAAUAUCUUCCAAAUAACUUGCAAAUGCUGGCCAUUCUUCUGGUUCCGAAACCAUCUUCACCAAUUGAGAACAAUCCGUUGCAAACGUAACCUGAAAUUGUCGUAAGUUUCUCAUACAUUCCAUAGCCCAUAAUAGAGCCUCCAUCUCUGCAUGCAAGGGAGUUAGAGUAGCCCGUACAUUCCUUGCUCCCAUUAGUCCCUCAAAUCCUUCUAAAGUACUGAACCAACCCUGACCAGAGAAAAUAUCACCCUCCUUCCAUGACCAGAGGAAACAUGAUCUGUAAUCUAAAAACACAAAGACAUCGGUAUUUUGAAAAUAAAUACAAACUUUUUUUUUUGAAAAAGACGGCCU